AUAAAUAUAUAUUUUAUAUUUAUGUGAAGAUUUCUAAAAGUACGUUUACAUACAAAAUCUCCACCCAGAUUAACCCGGAUAAUUGAGAAAUCACAAUAAAUUUUCCGUAUGUUUUCUAUAACUAACAGCCUGUUCCACGAUCUCGAAAGAAAAUUUGUGCGAACGAAGGCUACUCACUCACUUUCGUAUAAGAAUGCGUUCCACUAACUUUCGUUCUUUCUUUCGCAUAGCCUUACGUGAUUCAGUGUUGCUAAAUAUUUUUUUGUAAAAAUUAAUCGCGAAAUAAAGCAAAAAAAGCGUCAAAUGUCUAAUUUAAACGCGAAAAAGCAGCAGUGGUGCUGUCUCAACUGACAUUUCAGUUGUAAACAAACAAAUUGUAAAUAAACAAACAAAAUAAAAUUUCUAGUGAUUGUGUUCAAACUAUUUGUGCUCUUAGAAAAUAAAAAAAAGAAUAUUUCCGUAGCCCUAUUUUUUAUGGAGGAGGUUCGAAAUGUGCCACGGAGGCAUUUAAGAGAUGCUUCGAAUUUAUUUGAAGUACCUAACAACCAGUUUGUGGCCAACUUUCGUGUGUCGAAGGAAGUUUUCGGGCUCUUUUGGAUAUGAUGGAAGAGAAGUGGGUGCCCGGUUGCAGAACUACCCAAGUCCGCCCCGAUUUAAAACUUCUUCUGCUGCUUCCAAAAAUUGGCAUUCCUCUGGCGAACACAGGAUUCUCCUCCAUUUACUCAACUAGUGCCCGCAGCUGUGUAGUUGAUGAUUUUUUCGUGCUGGAAUUGAGAAAAUAAAAAAAAUAUAUAUUUGUUGUUCACAUAUUAAA
This is a long non-coding RNA of Musca domestica (house fly), 814 nucleotides long. RefSeq lists it as uncharacterized. The record is from RefSeq and is a predicted model, not a curated record. Lineage: Eukaryota; Metazoa; Arthropoda; Insecta; Diptera; Muscidae. The transcript is spliced from 2 exons.